UACGAAGGGUGCAAGCGUUUAAUCGGAAUUACUGGGCGUAAAGCGUGCGCAGGCGGUUUUGUAAGCCAGAUGUGAAAUCCCCGGGCUUAACCUGGGGAAUGGCAUUUGGGACUGGCAAGGCUUGAGUGCGGCAGAGGAGACUGGAAUUCCUGGUGUAGCAGUGAAAUGCGUAGAUAAUCGGAGAGGAAUACCGUGUGGCGAAGGCGGCCAACUGGACGAGAUACUGGACACUGAGA
RNAcentral lists this ribosomal RNA (236 nucleotides) under uncultured bacterium. Its description in RNAcentral is "partial 16S ribosomal RNA". It matches the Rfam family "Bacterial small subunit ribosomal RNA", at positions 524 to 751 of the family's 1533-position model. The record is from RNAcentral.